Molecule: ribosomal RNA, 495 nt
Filed under: uncultured bacterium
Lineage: Bacteria
Description: bacterial SSU rRNA
Rfam family: Bacterial small subunit ribosomal RNA
Source: RNAcentral
AAUGAACGCUGGCGGCAGGCCUAACACAUGCAAGUCGAGCGCGCCCCAUUAACUUCGGUUGGCGGGGUGAGCGGCGGACGGGUGGGUAACGCGUGGGAACGUACCCUUUGCUACGGAAUAGUCUCGGGAAACUGGGGGGUAAUACCGUAUGUGCCCCUUCGGGGGAAAGAUUUAUCGCCAAAGGAUUAGCCCGCGUUGGAUUAGGUAGUUGGUAGGGUAACGGCCUACCAAGCCGACGAUCAGUAGGGGGUGUGAGAGCAUGGCCCCCCACACGGGUACUGAGACACGGACCCGACUCCUACGGGAGGCAGCAGUAAGGAAUAUUGGUCAAUGGAGGCAACUCUGAACCAGCCAUUCCGCGUGAAGGAUGAAUGCCCUCUGGGUUGUAAACUUCUUUAGUCUGGGAAGAAAAACAUAUAUUCGUAUGUGUCUGACGGUACCAGAAGAAUAAGCACCGGCUAACUCCGUGCCAGCAGCCGCGGUAAAGUACAGUGU